Molecule: long non-coding RNA, 350 nt
Organism: Lynx canadensis (Canada lynx)
Lineage: Eukaryota; Metazoa; Chordata; Mammalia; Carnivora; Felidae
Exons: 3
Source: RefSeq, a predicted model, not a curated record
UAAAGUGUUUCCAACUCCAGCCAAUCCCAGGGAAGGCAGGAGGGCACUCCUCCAAUGGGAACCCGAGAGCGGUCAGUAGCUGUGGAGGCCUGCUAACCCGCUCGUUCUCCAGCCGACUGGAGGGACGCGUUCAGUGUGUUCACUAGAUCCAGCCGUCGGUCCCUCUAAUCUGCUUGCGCUCGGCAGCGGCGACGCGGAUGGCAGGAGGUGUCUGGUCAGCAGGUUGCUGAGGAUCCUGCGGGUAGCAAAGGGAGGGCGAGUGCCCCUGCGGCCCCAGACAGCAACCAGAACACGCAUCACUGUUAGAACCAUCACCCUGCAGCUAGCUUGGACACCAUUAAAAGGGCUCA